Molecule: ribosomal RNA, 440 nt
Filed under: uncultured bacterium
Lineage: Bacteria
Description: partial 16S ribosomal RNA
Rfam family: Bacterial small subunit ribosomal RNA
Source: RNAcentral
CCUACGGUGUGCAGCCGUGGGGGAUAUUGCACAAUGGGGGAAACCCUGAUGCCGCGACGCCGCGUGUAGGAAGACGGUCCUCUGGCUUGUAAACUACUGUCCCCAGGGACGAAGCUGACGGUACCUGGGGCGGAAGCUCCGGCUAACUACGUGCCAGCAGCCGCGGUAAUACGUAGGGAGCGAGCGUUGUACGGAAUUAGUGGGGGUAAAGGGGGCGUGGGCGGGGAUGCAAGUUGGGUGUUAAAUCUCACGGCUCAACUGGUAGUCGCACUCAAAACUGCAGCUCUUGAGUGAAGUAGAGGCAGGCGGAAGGCCUAGUGUAGCGGUGAAAUGCGUAGAUAUUAGGAGGAACACCAGUGGCGAAGGCGGCCUGCUGGGCGUUUACUGACGCUGAGGCUCGAAAGUGUGGGGAGCAAACAGGAUUAGAUACCCGAGUAGUC